Molecule: ribosomal RNA, 132 nt
Filed under: Corchorus capsularis
Lineage: Eukaryota; Viridiplantae; Streptophyta; Magnoliopsida; Malvales; Malvaceae
Description: 5.8S ribosomal RNA
Rfam family: 5.8S ribosomal RNA
About the family: 5.8S ribosomal RNA (5.8S rRNA) is a component of the large subunit of the eukaryotic ribosome.
Source: Rfam by way of RNAcentral
GACUCUCGGCAACGGAUAUCUCGGCUCUUGCAUCGAUGAAGAACGUAGCGAAAUGCGAUACUUGGUGUGAAUUGCAGAAUCCCGUGAACCAUCGAGUCUUUGAACGCAAGUUGCGCCCCAAGCCAUUAGGCC